GAUUGAACGCUGGCGGCAUGCCUUACACAUGCAAGUCGAACGGUAACGCGGGGCAACCUGGCGACGAGUGGCGAACGGGUGAGUAAUAUAUCGGAACGUGCCCAGUAGUGGGGGAUAGCCCGGCGAAAGCCGGAUUAAUACCGCAUACGACCUACGGGUGAAAGCGGGGGAUCGCAAGACCUCGCGCUAUUGGAGCGGCCGAUAUCAGAUUAGCUAGUUGGUAGGGUAACGGCUUACCAAGGCGACGAUCCGUAACCGGCCUGAGAGGGCGGUCGGUCACACUGACACUGACAUACGGGUCAGACUCCUACGGGAGGCAGCAGUCGGGAAUUUUGGGCAAUGGGCGAAGGCCUGACCCAGCAACGCCGCGUGAAGGAUGAAAUCCCUCGGGAUGUAAACUUCGCAAGAAUGGGAAGAAUUAGCGAACGCUAACACCGUUCGUGAUGACGGUACCAUUUGUAAGCUCCGGCUAACUCCGUGCCAGCAGCCGCGGUAAUACGGGGGGAGCAAGCGUUGUUCGGAUUUACUGGGCGUAAAGGGCGCGUAGGCGGCCAGCGCAAGUCAGUUGUGAAAUCUCCGGGCUUAACUCGGAAAGGUCAACUGAUACUGCGCGGCUAGAGUGCAGAAGGGGCAACUGGAAUUCUCGGUGUAGCGGUGAAAUGCGUAGAUAUCGAGAGGAACACCUGCGGCGAAGGCGGGUUGCUGGGCUGACACUGACGCUGAGGCGCGAAAGCCAGGGGAGCGAACGGGAUUAGAUACCCCGGUAGUCCUGGCCUUAAACGAUGGAUGCUUGGUGUCUGGAGUUUUAUAGUCUCCGGGUGCCGUAGCUAACGCGUUAAGCAUCCCGCCUGGGGAGUACGGUCGCAAGACUGAAACUCAAAGGAAUUGACGGGGACCCGCACAAGCGGUGGAGCAUGUGGUUCAAUUCGACGCAACGCGAAGAACCUUACCUGGGCUAGAAUGCCUCUGACAACUCCAGAGAUGGAGCUUUCUAGGGAAACCUAGACGGAGUGCAAGGUGCUGCAUGGCUGUCGUCAGCUCGUGUCGUGAGAUGUUGGGUUAAGUCCCGCAACGAGCGCAACCCUCGCCUUUAGUUGCCGCGCAAGCGGAUCUCUAGAGGGACUGCCGGUGUUAAACCGGAGGAAGGUGGGGAUGACGUCAAGUCCUCAUGGCCUUUAUGACCAGGGCUACACACGUGCUACAAUGGCCGGUACAAAGCGUUGCCAACUCGCGAGAGGGAGCUAAUCGCAUAAAACCGGUCUCAGUUCAGAUUGGAGUCUGCAACUCGACUCCAUGAAGGCGGAAUCGCUAGUAAUCGCAGAUCAGCACGCUGCGGUGAAUACGUUCCCGG
Molecule: ribosomal RNA, 1351 nt
Filed under: uncultured bacterium
Lineage: Bacteria
Description: bacterial SSU rRNA
Rfam family: Bacterial small subunit ribosomal RNA
Source: RNAcentral